Molecule: ribosomal RNA, 203 nt
Filed under: Trebouxia jamesii
Lineage: Eukaryota; Viridiplantae; Chlorophyta; Trebouxiophyceae; Trebouxiales; Trebouxiaceae
Description: 5.8S ribosomal RNA
Rfam family: 5.8S ribosomal RNA (bases 50-203)
About the family: 5.8S ribosomal RNA (5.8S rRNA) is a component of the large subunit of the eukaryotic ribosome. It is transcribed by RNA polymerase I as part of the 45S precursor that also contains 18S and 28S rRNA.
Source: RNAcentral
ACAGUUCUACUGGCUGGCUUUGCCGGCUGUAGACUGAAUAAAUAUAGACAACUCUCAACAACGGAUAUCUUGGCUCCCGUAACGAUGAAGAACGCAGCGAAAUGCGAUACGUAGUGUGAAUUGCAGAAUUCCGUGAACCAUCGAAUCUUUGAACGCAAAUUGCGCUCGAGGCCUCGGCCAAGAGCAUGUCUGCCUCAGCGUCG